Molecule: ribosomal RNA, 123 nt
Filed under: Microcebus murinus (gray mouse lemur)
Lineage: Eukaryota; Metazoa; Chordata; Mammalia; Primates; Cheirogaleidae
Source: RNAcentral
GUCUACAGCCGCACGGACCAGAACACGCCCAAUCACAUCUGAUCUUGGAAGCUACACAGAGUUGGGCCUGGUUAGUAAUUGGAUGGGAAAAAAUCAUAAAAAAUGUUCAAGAAUCUCUUGUCA